Molecule: long non-coding RNA, 1377 nt
Filed under: Pan troglodytes (chimpanzee)
Lineage: Eukaryota; Metazoa; Chordata; Mammalia; Primates; Hominidae
Description: lincRNA
Source: RNAcentral
CCAGCUCUUCUUUGUAUGUCUGUUAGAAUUUGGCUGUGAAUUCACCUGAUCUGGGCCUUUUAUGACAUCUUCUGUAACCAGAAGCACUCCAAGAACAACACUUUCAUUCAUGGACUUAACAACUACAUUAGAUCAUACCAGCCUGUCACUUCAAAGUCACCAGUGUCAAGGAACAUUUCAAAUGGGCUUAAAGCAUUGUUUUGGAAGUGUGAAUAAUGAAGCCAAGGACAUUAGCAACAUCAUGAAAGCAGGCGUCAAGUGAAUAGAGAAGAUUCUAUGGAUGUAGAAGAGGUCCCUGGGUUUCCGAAUUGCCACUGGAUUGCCUCUAUCAAAUACGCAAGAGUUUCAUGAGUGAGAAAUAACCUUCUGCUGCUUUAAAUCUUGGGUUGUGCAAUACAUCAGUGAGCCUACCAUGACCAAUACAUUCUAUGGAUGCAGAUUUCUCUUCUCUGGCCGUUGACAUGAGUGUGCUUUCUGGAUGCAGUCACAGGGGACCCAAGAUUCUUGGACAGAAUUCUCGCCGGGAGCCAACUCAGCCUGAUCUGCUGGCAUCUCUCAAGUAUCAGAAGUCAACAAAAUGGUUUGCCUUGAAGACUUGGCCAGAGCAGCAGCCAAACCUUGAAGGGCAAUAUCCUUACCAACAUGUGAUCUGAAGGAGCUCUGAACCCUCCAGUGAGACAUCAGCCCAUCAGACUCACAGAGAACAGCAGGAAGGCCAAAGACUCAAGAUUUAUCUAUCCUUGAAGUGAGAAAAAUUCCUUGUUAUUCAGUGAUGCUGAUUACAAUAGGCUUCCGUUAUACGAAGGGAAAACAUCCCAGACCCCCAGUGAAUGCCUGAAACUGGAUGCUACUGAACCCUGAGACGGUACUAAGUGACUAACGGGUGAAUAGCGUGUACAGCAUGGAUACACUAGACAAAGGGAGGAUUCACAUCUUGGGCUGGUCAGCAAGAGGUUUCAUCACCCCACUCAAAACGGCAGGACCGUAUGAACCUGAAUCCAGAGAAAUGGCUCAUCAGUCUCCAAUCCUCUGAUUUUCUAAACCAGGACUACAUUAUAUUAAAACCAGAAAAAGCAAUACCUCUUUUCACAGAAUGGACUUUCUGGUGGAAAUGGGAGGAACCAAAAGAAGGCUGACUUCUUCAUUUUGACACCCUGCCCUGACUGCAGAACGUGAUUUCCCUAAAAGACUGAAUGUUAACCUCAAAGGCUGAUCAACCAACAUGCAGGAGAAAUCUUGACCAAGGCUCUGAGCAUGCUGUGGUCCCAAUGGUGAGGGUGUGAUAUGCACUGUCUGUUCCUGGAGUCACAGUGCUCAUCUUGUGGUAAAGACCUCUUGGAAGAAUGUCUUCAAAGGCACAUCUCCAGCUGGGAGUCC